UCAUAGCUCAGUGGUAGAACACCUGCUUUGCAUGCAGAAGGUCCCAGGUUCAAUCUCUAGAUAGGGCUGGGAAAG
Podarcis lilfordi (Lilford's wall lizard) is the source of this 75-nucleotide non-coding RNA. Lineage: Eukaryota; Metazoa; Chordata; Lepidosauria; Squamata; Lacertidae. The record is from the annotation of a GenBank genome assembly.